UGUAAUUGGUUAAAGUUGGUAGAAAAUGGUUGUAAUUGGCCAAAGUUGGUGCUUUUGGUCAAAGUUGGUAGAAAAUGGUUGUAAUUGGCCAAAGUUGGUGUUUUUGGUCAAAGUUGGUAGAAAAUGGUUGUAAUUGGUUAAAGUUGGUAGAAAAUGGUUGUAAUUGGCCAAAGUUGGUGUUUUUGGUCAAAGUUGGUAGAAAAUGGUUGUAAUUGGUUAAAGUUGGUAGAAAAUGGUUGUAAUUGGCCAAAGUUGGUGUUUUUGGUUAAAGUUGGUAGAAAAUGGUUGUAAUUGGUUAAAGUUGGUAGAAAAUGGUUGUAAUUGGCCAAAGUUGGUGUUUUUGGUCAAAGUUGGUGUUUUUGGUCAAAGUUGGUAGAAAAUGGUUGUAAUUGGUCAAAGUUGGUAGAAAAUGGUUGUAAUUGGCCAAAGUUGGUGUUUUUGGUCAAAGUUGGUAGAAAAUGGUUGUAAUUGGCCAAAGUUGGUGAUUUUGGUCAAAGUUGGUAGAAAAUGGUUUUAAUCGGUCAAAGUUAGUGUUUUUGGUCAAAGUUGGUAGAAAAU
This is a long non-coding RNA of Anopheles funestus (African malaria mosquito), 558 nucleotides long. RefSeq lists it as uncharacterized. The transcript has 3 exons. NCBI's taxonomy places the organism in Eukaryota, Metazoa, Arthropoda, Insecta, Diptera, Culicidae. The record is from RefSeq and is a predicted model, not a curated record.